CUUGGAAGCAGGCGCAGGCUGAAAACCCGAGCGCGCAGCACCUGAGGAAAAGUGCUCCGAGUUAAUUGAAAAGCUUCAGGAAACUGGAAUUCCUCGCAGUGAUACUGUCACAUGCGUCAGCCACCAGAUACAUGUUGUAAGGACUUUUUUUGUUCACCUUUAGUUCAGACUGACUGUGACCACUGCUCCCUCCAUCUCUAGAAUGAAAUGAUUAUGAAAUUAUUUGAGAACACUGAAAUACCUAAGAAAGGAGAGCAACACCACGGACCAGCAUCCAAUAUCGGAACUAAGCCACAUCAAUUUUUCCAUGGAAGACCUCAGUUUCAAUGCAAAUCAUUCCUGGAGGAAAAAUGUUCUGCCGAAAAACAGUGACCAACUCUUAUAAUUAUGGUUGAAAAUCCAAACACACCCAGAGGCUCGGAUCAGGAGCUGUUGAUUUACCAGGUUAUCAGUGGAACACAAACACCCUUUCCUGGUGAUCUAGACACGGAGGAAAAGAGCCUGCAAAGAGCCCCAGAGCUCUGAGGUCACUGGGGAUGGAUCCAGUACGAGAUUUCCACAUGCCAAGUAUCCCUUUGUCCCACACACAAGCUGCCAUCUCACAGAAAAACCACUUCCAAAUCUCCUACUUGGUGGAGUAAGCACCCUGUCCUUCAAGUCUUUGCAAAAAUCCUGAAUUAAUCUGCUGUAAAGCCAUUAGAAUGAGCUUCUUCUUGCUAAGCACUGAUUCUGGUUUUAAUCAUAUCAGCUCUGAGUUCAGAUCAGGUGUUUGUGAAGCCAUGUAAGUUUAUACCAUUGGAUAAAAAUGAUGAGAAACAUCUAGGACAAUUAAGAAAGCAGGCAAGAUUCCAGAAGCAGAUUUCUCCCCCAAAAAGCAGCACACACAUUUUGUGGUGAGUUUGCACAGGCUCAUCUGCCCAGCUGAAGAUGCCAUUGCACUAAUCCUUGCCAGAGGGAUGGGCAGGGGCAAUGUUUGGAGUGGAGGGCAGACACUCUGAGAUGGAGAUGGGGAUUUCAGUGAUGAGAACAAACAGCAACGGCCCCGGAUUCCCUGCCACAGGCUGCUGAACUCCCAUCUGGAAGCAAGACCAGGGAGGUGAUUUCUGCAUGGGGCUCCACAGUCAAACAACACCUAACAAAAUCCUGUAGGCCAGAAAUAUGGAUUGUCCAGCUAAGUACUUCCUAAUGUUUUAAAAAUGUAUCAUUUGCUCCUUCUUUCUGUUUGCCAGUGCAAGAAGGUAACUCUGCCCACAAACCUUAAUUACAUGAGCUGUAAUGGCUGGAAGAAAUAAUCCCAUUUUCAGGCACACAAACAUUUUCUGUGUGUGCCCAAAACUGUUCCAGCUGUACCUAACAAAGAAGAUUACCUGUACCUGAGAGCCUUGUCUGCCUUAUAUCCACAGACAGUCCAGGCUCCUGCAGCACCACUGCUUUAACUGUGCUUUUCAACAUUCCUGGCACAGCGAGACUUUAAGCUUGGGUUUUACCUCUGGA
Passer domesticus (house sparrow) is the source of this 1494-nucleotide long non-coding RNA. RefSeq lists it as uncharacterized. The record is from RefSeq and is a predicted model, not a curated record. Lineage: Eukaryota; Metazoa; Chordata; Aves; Passeriformes; Passeridae. The transcript has 5 exons.